UACGGAAGAUCAUAUGUACCCCGUAAUAAAUCUGUAGCAUGUACAUAUUUACUGGAUAAUUAUUAUUCGAGCUUAUGCUAAUAUGUACUUAAUUUGCUGCGGUGAAACAAAUUUUAAGGAUUCUGAUUUAGGAUUAAUCUUCAAUAAAAAUUAGUCUGGAAUGAAGCAACUUUUUUCGCGUCCGUAUUUAUACAUGUUCACAUAAAGACAUGUCUGAAAUCAUGGACAUCAUGGACAGUGUCAAGCGAGGGCAAAAACCGGGACGAGGGGGGCUACAAAAAAAGGGUCUCCGGCAAAAAGGGGAGCCUUGCGUGAAUCUUUGCUUCUUCCUUCUUCCUAUCCACAACCUGAGACGUAUUAAAAAACUUCAAACCACUUCCUGCCUUCCCCUUUCUGUAAAAUCUCCAGCUUUUGUCUUCUUGCUGCGAA
Long non-coding RNA from Folsomia candida, 429 nucleotides. RefSeq lists it as uncharacterized. NCBI's taxonomy places the organism in Eukaryota, Metazoa, Arthropoda, Collembola, Entomobryomorpha, Isotomidae. The record is from RefSeq and is a predicted model, not a curated record. The transcript has 3 exons.